RNAcentral lists this small RNA (273 nucleotides) under Bos taurus (domestic cattle). The record is from RNAcentral. Lineage: Eukaryota; Metazoa; Chordata; Mammalia; Artiodactyla; Bovidae.
AGCGGAAUUCGUGAGACCUUUUUUUUUUGUGGUCUUUUCCAUGUGGAUAUCCUCACAGUAUGGCAUUUAAUACUGUCUAAGAAUUAUCAGAGCUUUUAAUGUUUUCCUUCUCUAAAAAAAUAUGUAUUUACACAUGCCACUGUGUUUUCUUUAUUCCCUCCUUUCUCAGUUCGGUUCAGUUCAGUCAGUUGUGUCUGACCCCAUGAAUCACAGCAUUUCAGGCCUCCCUAUCCAUCACCAACUCCUGGAGUUCACUCAAACUCAUGUCCAUCG